RNAcentral lists this transfer RNA (71 nucleotides) under Conaspidia wangi. RNAcentral describes it as "tRNA-Ala". Lineage: Eukaryota; Metazoa; Arthropoda; Insecta; Hymenoptera; Tenthredinidae. The record is from RNAcentral.
AGGAUAAUAGUUAAAAAUAACAUUUGAUUUGCAUUCAAAAAUUAUUAAUUUUAAACUAUUAAUUUGUCUUA